RNAcentral lists this ribosomal RNA (465 nucleotides) under Vreelandella stevensii. RNAcentral's name for it is "partial 16S ribosomal RNA". It matches the Rfam family "Bacterial small subunit ribosomal RNA", at positions 338 to 795 of the family's 1533-position model. The record is from RNAcentral. Lineage: Bacteria; Pseudomonadati; Pseudomonadota; Gammaproteobacteria; Oceanospirillales; Halomonadaceae.
CCUACGAGAGGCUGCAGUGGGGAAUAUUGGACAAUGGGCGAAAGCCUGAUCCAGCCAUGCCGCGUGUGUGAAGAAGGCCUUCGGGUUGUAAAGCACUUUCAGUGGGGAAGAAAGCCUUGGGGCUAAUACCCUCGAGGAAGGACAUCACCCACAGAAGAAGCACCGGCUAACUCCGUGCCAGCAGCCGCGGUAAUACGGAGGGUGCGAGCGUUAAUCGGAAUUACUGGGCGUAAAGCGCGCGUAGGCGGUCUGAUAAGCCGGUUGUGAAAGCCCCGGGCUCAACCUGGGAACGGCAUCCGGAACUGUCAGGCUAGAGUGCAGGAGAGGAAGGUAGAAUUCCCGGUGUAGCGGUGAAAUGCGUAGAGAUCGGGAGGAAUACCAGUGGCGAAGGCGGCCUUCUGGACUGACACUGACGCUGAGGUGCGAAAGCGUGGGUAGCAAACAGGAUUAGAUACCCCAGUAGUC